RNAcentral lists this unclassified non-coding RNA (2533 nucleotides) under Hevea brasiliensis (rubber tree). The record is from RNAcentral. Lineage: Eukaryota; Viridiplantae; Streptophyta; Magnoliopsida; Malpighiales; Euphorbiaceae.
CUUUUUACCAGCAAAUGGCAGCGUAGAUGCCUUUGAAUCAUGCUGUUUCUUUUCUUUGUACUCCAGUACUCCUUAUGAGGUGACCAAUGAUAAGGCAAUUACGUGGUGUAUAAAGUCUUGCAAUACAGAAGCUCCUAGCUCAUAAACUAGUAUCAAUUUCUACAGGGAUUAGCGGAAGGGCCUCCUGCCAUAACAACAGUGCCGAGCUAAAGGCGAAGAUGAUCAGCCUAAUAUUCCUUGUGGUGUUUCUGGGAUGGAUUAUGAUUUGGGAUAUGUUGCCAACCAAGGUUUACCAAAAUACUUGGACUCCAAAGCUGUCGAGCGAGCUAAAUUCGACCCUUUUUGAAGGACAAGGAACAAACCUUCUGCUAUUUUCAUUCCCUGUGAUGUUCAUAGCAGCUUUUGGAAGUGUUUAUCUCCAUUUUCAGAAGAAACUGAGAAAACCCAGCUACAAGAGUGCUGCCGUUUCAAGCAAUCGUUUGUCCUUCUUGAAACGUCCAGUGCUUGUCGUGGCUCCUUUGGGCAUUGUUACUGCAAUGGAGAUUGCUUUUGCAGCCAUGUUUGUUGCACUCUUAAUCUGGUCUCUUGCCAACUACUUGUAUGUCAGUUUUGGUCAUCUCCACAUGCAUAAAGAAGGGGAGAAAAUAUGGCAAGCAAAGUUUAGAAGUGUAUCACUGCGACUUGGAUAUAUUGGAAAUAUAUGCUGGGCAUUUCUCUUCUUUCCGGUAACUCGAGGAUCUUCAGUUUUGGCUCUUGUUGGACUAACAUCUGAGUCGAGUAUCAAGUAUCAUAUUUGGCUCGGCCAUCUCUCAAUGAUCCUUUUCGCUGCACAUACCAUAGGUUUCAUCAUAUACUGGGCAAUGACAAACCAAAUGGCUCUGAUGCUAGAGUGGAGCAAAACCUGGGUAUCAAAUGUUGCUGGUGAGAUUGCAGUUGUGCUUGCAUUAGCAAUGUGGGUGACAAGCUCUCACCGCAUUAGGCGUAAAAUGUUUGAGGUUUUCUUCUACACCCAUCAUUUGUACAUUCUCUAUAUAUUAUUCUAUUUUUUGCAUGUUGGCGCUGCCUACUUCCGCAUGAUUUUGCCUGGGAUCUUCCUUUUCCUCAUCGAUCGAUACCUAAGAUUCUUACAGUCGAGGCAACAAGCUAGAUUACUCUCAUCUCGCCUCUUACCAUGUGGUUACAUUGAACUGAACUUCUCUAAGAGUAGAGGAUUGUAUUAUAAUCCAACAAGCAUACUAUUUUUGAAUGUACCAAGCAUUGCCAAGUUACAAUGGCACCCUUUUACUGUGACUUCAAACUGCGACAUGGAGCCAGAAACGCUAAGUGUAGUUAUUAAAAGACAGGGAAGUUGGUCUCAAAAGCUUUACCAAGAAAUUUCUUCUUCUGUAGAUCGCCUAGAAAUGUCGGUUGAAGGACCCUAUGGACCUACUUCAUCGCAUUUUCUAAGGCAUGAGUUGCUGAUGAUGGUGAGUGGGGGUAGCGGUAUCACUCCUUUUAUCUCCAUAAUCCGCCAGAUCAUUGUCCAAAGCACGCAACCAAACUGUCAAAUUCCACGAAUCUUUCUGGUUUGUGCAUUCAAGAAAUCAGCUGAUCUUGCAAUGCUAGACCUCAUGCUUCCCAUCAAUGGCACGCCUGCGCAGAUUACUCAACUGCAGCUGCAAAUUGAAGCUUAUAUCACUAGAGAGACAGAGCAGCCUAUCGCAGAUACCGAAAAGCAUCUCCAAACCAUAUGGUUCAAGCCAAACCCAUCAGACUCACCCAUCACGGCAGCUCUAGGACCCAAGAAUUGGCUAUGGCUUGGAACAAUAAUCGUAUCAUCAUUUGUCAUGUUCCUCCUCCUACUAGGCAUUGUUACUCGUUACUAUAUAUUCCCUAUUGAUCAGAACACAGAGGAAAUAUAUCAUUUUUCGUAUUUUGUACUUUGGGAAAUGUUAUUGGUCUGUGCCUGCGUCGUUAUUGCUUCCAGUGCAGCCUUCUUUUGGUGCAAGAAACAAAAUGAGCAAAUUCAGAACUUGGAAGUGCCAACUGCAACAGCAUCACCGGGCUCAGGGCCUUACGGUGCAGAUACAGAGCUGGAAAGCCUUCCCCAUCAGUCUCUUGUCCAGGCUACCAAGGUGCAUUUUGGAGCAAGACCUGAACUCAACAGUAAGCCCCUCUCAAUUGGACUGAUGUAUUUUUGUGACCUGAAUUGACUGAUUUCCCAUCGGCAUACAUUAACUAAUGCAGGGAUUUUAUCCGAGUGCAAAGGAUCAGAUGUUGGAGUCUUAGCCUGUGGACCAAGGGCAAUGAGACAUGAGGUUGCCAAAAUCUGUUCAUCUGGUUUGGCAGAUAACCUGCACUUUGAGUCUAUUAGCUUUGACUGGUGAGCUUAUAGUUACUAAGGAAACUCUGCUUGUGGAAUGUGGCUUGCAAAUAUUGGUAGCGCUAGCUAUUAUGUAUUAAAAAGACUUCCUUAAUUUGUAUGUGUUCUGUAACUCUUCCUUUCAAAAUCAAACUUCUUGAUAAAUCAACUCUUUUAUUUAUUAUCCUGGAA